Molecule: unclassified non-coding RNA, 27 nt
Filed under: Dictyostelium discoideum
Lineage: Eukaryota; Evosea; Eumycetozoa; Dictyosteliales; Dictyosteliaceae
Source: RNAcentral
CUGAAAAACAGCAGAGAAGCCAUAGCG